CGCUGGCGGCGUGCUUAACACAUGCAAGUCGAACGGUGAAGCCCAGCUUGCUGGGUGGAUCAGUGGCGAACGGGUGAGUAACACGUGAGCAACCUGCCCCUGACUCUGGGAUAAGCGCUGGAAACGGCGUCUAAUACUGGAUAUGUAUCACGGCCGCAUGGUCUGUGGUUGGAAAGAUUUUUCGGUUGGGGAUGGGCUCGCGGCCUAUCAGCUUGUUGGUGAGGUAAUGGCUCACCAAGGCGUCGACGGGUAGCCGGCCUGAGAGGGUGACCGGCCACACUGGGACUGAGACACGGCCCAGACUCCUACGGGAGGCAGCAGUGGGGAAUAUUGCACAAUGGGCGCAAGCCUGAUGCAGCAACGCCGCGUGAGGGAUGACGGCCUUCGGGUUGUAAACCUCUUUUAGCAGGGAAGAAGCGAAAGUGACGGUACCUGCAGAAAAAGCGCCGGCUAACUACGUGCCAGCAGCCGCGGUAAUACGUAGGGCGCAAGCGUUAUCCGGAAUUAUUGGGCGUAAAGAGCUCGUAGGCGGUUUGUCGCGUCUGCUGUGAAAUCCCGAGGCUCAACCUCGGGUCUGCAGUGGGUACGGGCAGACUAGAGUGCGGUAGGGGAGAUUGGAAUUCCUGGUGUAGCGGUGGAAUGCGCAGAUAUCAGGAGGAACACCGAUGGCGAAGGCAGAUCUCUGGGCCGUAACUGACGCUGAGGAGCGAAAGGGUGGGGAGCAAACAGGCUUAGAUACCCUGGUAGUCCACCCCGUAAACGUUGGGAACUAGUUGUGGGGUCCAUUCCACGGAUUCCGUGACGCAGCUAACGCAUUAAGUUCCCCGCCUGGGGAGUACGGCCGCAAGGCUAAAACUCAAAGGAAUUGACGGGGACCCGCACAAGCGGCGGAGCAUGCGGAUUAAUUCGAUGCAACGCGAAGAACCUUACCAAGGCUUGACAUAUACGAGAACGGGCCAGAAAUGGUCAACUCUUUGGACACUCGUAAACAGGUGGUGCAUGGUUGUCGUCAGCUCGUGUCGUGAGAUGUUGGGUUAAGUCCCGCAACGAGCGCAACCCUCGUUCUAUGUUGCCAGCACGUAAUGGUGGGAACUCAUGGGAUACUGCCGGGGUCAACUCGGAGGAAGGUGGGGAUGACGUCAAAUCAUCAUGCCCCUUAUGUCUUGGGCUUCACGCAUGCUACAAUGGCCGGUACAAAGGGCUGCAAUACCGCGAGGUGGAGCGAAUCCCAAAAAGCCGGUCCCAGUUCGGAUUGAGGUCUGCAACUCGACCUCAUGAAGUCGGAGUCGCUAGUAAUCGCAGAUCAGCAACGCUGCGGUGAAUACGUUCCCGGGUCUUGUACACACCGCCCGUCAAGUCAUGAAAGUCGGUAACACCUGAAGCCGGUGGCCUAACCUUUUUGGAGGGAGCCGUCGAAGGUGGG
This 1423-nucleotide ribosomal RNA is filed under the name Microbacterium phyllosphaerae. Its description in RNAcentral is "bacterial SSU rRNA". It matches the Rfam family "Bacterial small subunit ribosomal RNA". The record is from RNAcentral. Lineage: Bacteria; Bacillati; Actinomycetota; Actinomycetes; Micrococcales; Microbacteriaceae.